This 31-nucleotide non-coding RNA is filed under the name Rattus norvegicus (Norway rat). The record is from RNAcentral. Lineage: Eukaryota; Metazoa; Chordata; Mammalia; Rodentia; Muridae.
UGGACCGUGUGCCUAUAAUCAACACCUGAAA